GAUGAAGAACGCAGUGAAAUGCGAUACGUAAUGUGAAUUGCAGAAUUCAGUGAAUCAUCGAAUCUUUGAACGCAUAUUGCGCUCUCUGGUAUUCCGGAGAGCAUGCUUGUUUGAGUAUCAGUAAACACCUCAACUUCCAUAUCUUUUUUGAAAUGGGAGUUGGACUUGAGUGAUCCCAACGCUUUUCCUCACCGAAAAGUGGCGGGUUACUUGAAAUGCAGGUGCAGCUGGACUUUUCUCUGAGCUAUAAGCAUAUCUAUUUAGUCUGCCUAAAAAACAGAUUAUUACCUUUGCUGCAGCUAACAUAAAGGAGAUUAGUUCUUGUGCUGACUGAUGCAGGAUUCACAAAGACAGGCUUCGGCCGACUUUGUAAACUCGAUCUCAAAUCAAGUAAGACUACCCGCUGAACUUAAGCAUAUAAUAAGCGGAGGA
This 432-nucleotide unclassified non-coding RNA is filed under the name soil metagenome. RNAcentral describes it as "partial contains 5.8S ribosomal RNA, internal transcribed spacer 2, and large subunit ribosomal RNA". The stretch from base 1 to 120 matches the Rfam family "5.8S ribosomal RNA", at positions 35 to 154 of the family's 154-position model. The record is from RNAcentral.